RNAcentral lists this ribosomal RNA (253 nucleotides) under uncultured bacterium. Its description in RNAcentral is "partial 16S ribosomal RNA". It matches the Rfam family "Bacterial small subunit ribosomal RNA", at positions 524 to 776 of the family's 1533-position model. The record is from RNAcentral.
UACAGAGGGGGCAAGCGUUGUUCGGAAUUACUGGGCGUAAAGGGCGCGUAGGCGGCCUGCUAAGUCGAACGUGAAAUCCCCGAGCUCAACUCGGGAACUGCGUCCGAUACUGACAGGCUUGAAUCCGGGAGAGGGAUGCGGAAUUCCAGGUGUAGCGGUGAAAUGCGUAGAUAUCUGGAGGAACACCGGUGGCGAAGGCGGCAUCCUGGACCGGCAUUGACGCUGAGGCGCGAAAGCUAGGGGAGCGAACGGG